RNAcentral lists this ribosomal RNA (557 nucleotides) under Salmonella enterica subsp. enterica serovar Infantis. Its description in RNAcentral is "bacterial SSU rRNA". It matches the Rfam family "Bacterial small subunit ribosomal RNA", at positions 1 to 547 of the family's 1533-position model. Lineage: Bacteria; Pseudomonadati; Pseudomonadota; Gammaproteobacteria; Enterobacterales; Enterobacteriaceae. The record is from RNAcentral. RNAcentral also lists the same sequence under 1 other name.
AAAUUGAAGAGUUUGAUCAUGGCUCAGAUUGAACGCUGGCGGCAGGCCUAACACAUGCAAGUCGAACGGUAACAGGAAGCAGCUUGCUGCUUCGCUGACGAGUGGCGGACGGGUGAGUAAUGUCUGGGAAACUGCCUGAUGGAGGGGGAUAACUACUGGAAACGGUGGCUAAUACCGCAUAACGUCGCAAGACCAAAGAGGGGGACCUUCGGGCCUCUUGCCAUCAGAUGUGCCCAGAUGGGAUUAGCUUGUUGGUGAGGUAACGGCUCACCAAGGCGACGAUCCCUAGCUGGUCUGAGAGGAUGACCAGCCACACUGGAACUGAGACACGGUCCAGACUCCUACGGGAGGCAGCAGUGGGGAAUAUUGCACAAUGGGCGCAAGCCUGAUGCAGCCAUGCCGCGUGUAUGAAGAAGGCCUUCGGGUUGUAAAGUACUUUCAGCGGGGAGGAAGGUGUUGCGGUUAAUAACCGCAGCAAUUGACGUUACCCGCAGAAGAAGCACCGGCUAACUCCGUGCCAGCAGCCGCGGUAAUACGGAGGGUGCAAGCGUUAAUCG